GACAUUAUUGUUUGGGAUUAAA
This 22-nucleotide non-coding RNA is filed under the name Rattus norvegicus (Norway rat). Lineage: Eukaryota; Metazoa; Chordata; Mammalia; Rodentia; Muridae. The record is from RNAcentral.